CCUACGGGAGGCAGCAGUAGGGAAUUUUCGGCAAUGGGGUGAACCCUGACCGAGCAACGCCGCGUGAAGGAAGAAGGAAUUCUUUCUGUAAACUUCUUUUAUAAAGGAAGAAAGACGGAUGGAGGAAAUCACAUCCGAGUGACGGUACUUUAUGAGAAAGCCACGGCUAACUACGUGCCAGCAGCCGCGGUAAUACGUAGGUGGCAAGCUUUAUCCGGAAUUAUUGGGUGUAAAGCGGGAGCAGGCGGCAGCAAAGGUCUGUGGUGAAAGAGUGAAGCUUAACUUCAGUAAGCCAUAGAAACCGGGCAGCUGGAGUGCAGGAGAGGAUCGUGGAAUGCGAUGUGUAGCGGUGAAAUGCGUAGAUAUCUGGAGGAACACCGGUGGCGAAGGCGACGAUCUGGCCUGCAACUGACGCUCAGUCCCGAAAGCGUGGGGAGCAAAUAGGAUUAGAUACCCCGGUAGUC
RNAcentral lists this ribosomal RNA (464 nucleotides) under uncultured bacterium. RNAcentral describes it as "partial 16S ribosomal RNA". It matches the Rfam family "Bacterial small subunit ribosomal RNA", at positions 338 to 795 of the family's 1533-position model. The record is from RNAcentral.